RNAcentral lists this ribosomal RNA (254 nucleotides) under uncultured bacterium. RNAcentral describes it as "partial 16S ribosomal RNA". It matches the Rfam family "Bacterial small subunit ribosomal RNA", at positions 524 to 776 of the family's 1533-position model. The record is from RNAcentral.
UACGUAGGGUGCGAGCGUUGUCCGGAAUUAUUGGGCGUAAAGAGCUCGUAGGCGGUCUGUCGCGUCGGUCGUGAAAACUUGGGGCUUAACCCUGAGCUUGCGGUCGAUACGGGCAUGACUGGAGUUCGGCAGGGGAGACUGGAAUUCCUGGUGUAGCGGUGAAAUGCGCGGAUAUCAGGAGGAACACCGGUGGCGAAGGCGGGUCUCUGGGCCGAUACUGACGCUGAGGAGCGAAAGCGUGGGGAGCGAACAGG